Molecule: ribosomal RNA, 253 nt
Filed under: uncultured bacterium
Lineage: Bacteria
Description: partial 16S ribosomal RNA
Rfam family: Bacterial small subunit ribosomal RNA
Source: RNAcentral
UACGUAGGGUGCAGGCGUUAAUCGGAAUUACUGGGCGUAAAGCGUGCGCAGGCGGUUUGCUAAGACAGGUGUGAAAUCCCCGGGCUUAACCUGGGAACUGCGCUUGUAACUGGCAAGCUGGAGUGUGGCAGAGGGGGGUGGAAUUCCACGUGUAGCAGUGAAAUGCGUAGAGAUGUGGAGGAACACCGAUGGCGAAGGCGGCCCCCUGGGCUAACACUGACGCUCAUGCACGAAAGCGUGGGGAGCAAACAGG